RNAcentral lists this ribosomal RNA (256 nucleotides) under uncultured bacterium. Its description in RNAcentral is "partial 16S ribosomal RNA". It matches the Rfam family "Bacterial small subunit ribosomal RNA", at positions 524 to 776 of the family's 1533-position model. The record is from RNAcentral.
UACGUAGGGUGCAAGCGUUAAUCGGAAUUACUGGGCGUAAAGCGUGCGCAGGCGGUUUUGUAAGUUUGUCGUGAAAGCCCCGGGCUCAACCUGGGAAUUGCGUUGGAGACUGCAAGGCUAGAAUCUGGCAGGAGGGGGGUAGAAUUCCACGUGUAGCAGUGAAAUGCGUAGAGAUGUGGAGGAACACCGGAUGGCCGAAGGCAGCCCCCUGGGUCAAGAUUGACGCUCAUGCACGAAAGCGUGGGGAGCAAACAGG